UUCGGUUGAUCCUGCCGGAGGCCAUUGCUAUUGGGGUCCGAUUUAGCCAUGCUAGUUGUGCGAGUUCAGCCUCGCGGCGAAAAGCUCAGUAACACGUGGCCAAGCUACCCUUCAGACUGCGAUAACCUCGGGAAACUGAGGCUAAUAGCGGAUACGGGACCGGCGCUGGAAUGCGCGGUCCUCCAAACGCUCCGGCGCUGAAGGAUGCGGCUGCGGCCGAUUAGGUAGACGGUGGGGUAACGGCCCACCGUGCCGAUAAUCGGUACGGGUUGUGAGAGCAAGAGCCCGGAGACGGAAUCUGAGACAAGAUUCCGGGCCCUACGGGGCGCAGCAGGCGCGAAACCUUUACACUGCACGCAAGUGCGAUAAGGGGACCCCAAGUGCGAGGGCAUACAGUCCUCGCUUUUCACACCCGUAAGGAGGUUGUGGAAUAAGAGCUGGGCAAGACCGGUGCCAGCCGCCGCGGUAAUACCGGCAGCUCGAGUGAUGGCCGCUAUUAUUGGGCCUAAAGCGUCCGUAGCUGGCCACGCAAGUCCGUCGGGAAAUCCACCAGCCCAACUGGUGGGCGGCCGACGGAAACUGCGUGGCUUGGGACCGGAAGACCCAACGGGUACGUCCGGGGUAGGAGUGAAAUCCCGUAAUCCCGGACGGACCACCGAUGGCGAAAGCACGUUGGGGAGACGGCUCCGACAGUGAGGGACGAAAGCUGGGGUCUCGAACCGGAUUAGAUACCCGGGUAGUCCCAGCCGUAAACGAUGCCUGUUAGGUGUGGCACCCGCUACGAGCGGGUGCUGUGCCGUAGGGAAGCCGCUAAACAGGCCGCCUGGGAAGUACGUCCGCAAGGAUGAAACUUAAAGGAAUUGGCGGGGGAGCACUACAACCGGAGGAGCCUGCGGUUUAAUUGGAUUCAACGCCGGA
RNAcentral lists this ribosomal RNA (918 nucleotides) under uncultured archaeon. RNAcentral describes it as "bacterial SSU rRNA". It matches the Rfam family "Archaeal small subunit ribosomal RNA", at positions 1 to 922 of the family's 1478-position model. The record is from RNAcentral.